AACUCACAACACAGAGAUAAAUGUAGACUAGAUAGUGUGAUAAU
This 44-nucleotide non-coding RNA is filed under the name Trypanosoma brucei brucei. Lineage: Eukaryota; Euglenozoa; Kinetoplastea; Trypanosomatida; Trypanosomatidae. The record is from RNAcentral.